Molecule: ribosomal RNA, 253 nt
Filed under: uncultured bacterium
Lineage: Bacteria
Description: partial 16S ribosomal RNA
Rfam family: Bacterial small subunit ribosomal RNA
Source: RNAcentral
UACGUAGGGAGCAAGCGUUGUCCGGAUUCACUGGGUGUAAAGGGUGCGCAGGCGGGAGAGUAAGUCAGAGGUGAAAUCUCACAGCUUAACUGUGAAACUGCCUUUGAUACUGCUUUUCUUGAGUUCGGGAGAGGUUGAUGGAAUUCCAGGUGUAGCGGUGAAAUGCGUAGAUAUCUGGAGGAACACCGAUGGCGAAGGCAGGUCUCUGGGCUGACACUGACGCUCAUGCACGAAAGCGUGGGGAGCAAACAGG